UGGCGGCGUGCUUAACACAUGCAAGUCGACCGAGAAAGUUCUAUUCGGAGGACGAGUAGAGUGGCGCACGGGUGAGUAACACGUGGAUAAUCUGCCCUGGAGUUCGGGAUAACCAUUCGAAAGGGUGGCUAAUACCGGAUAGAAUGGAUGCAUGCAGGUGCAUUGAUGAAAGGCGGCACUUUCGGGUGCUGUUGCUUUGGGAUGAGUCCGCGCAUCAUUAGCUUGCUGGUGGGGUAACGGCCUACCAGGGCGACGAUGGUUAGCUGAUCUGAGAGGGUGAUCAGCCACACUGGAACUGAAACACGGUCCAGACUCCUACGGGAGGCAGCAGUGAGGGAUUUUGCGCAAUGGGGGUAACCCUGACGCAGCAACGCCGCGUGAGUGAAGAAGGCCUUUGGGUCGUAAAGCUCUGUCAACAGGGAAGAAGUUGCAUUGCAUUAACAGUGUGAUGUCUUGACGGUACCUGUGGAGGAAGCACCGGCUAACUCCGUGCCAGACAGCCACGGUAACACGGGGGUGCAAGCGUUAUUCGGAAUUAUUGGGGCGUAAAGUGCGCGCAGGCGGUCUUGUCAGUCAGAUGUGAAAGCCCGGGGCUCAACUCCGGACGUGCAUUUGAAACAGCAGGACUUGAGUACAGGAGAGGAAAGCGGAAUUCCUUGGUGUAGAGGUGAAAUUCGUAGAUAUCAGGAGGAACACCGAUGGCGAAGGCAGCUUUCUGGACUGAUACUGACGCUGAGGCGCGAAGGCGUGGGUAGCGAACAGGAUUAGAUACCCUGGUAGUCCACGCAGUAAACGAUGUUCACUAGGUGCAGCGUGUAUUAAAACAUGCUGUGCCGCAGCCAACGCAUUAAGUGAACCGCCUGGGGAGUACGGUCGCAGGAUUAAAACUCAAAGGAAUUGACGGGGGCCCGCACAAGCGGUGGAGCAUGUGGUUUAAUUCGACGCAACGCGAAGAACCUUACCUGGGUUUGACAUCCUGUGAACCCUCUGGAGACAGAGGGGUGCCUUCGGGAGCACAGAGACAGGUGCUGCAUGGCUGUCGUCAGCUCGUGUCGUGAGAUGUUUGGUUAAGUCCAGCAACGAGCGCAACCCUUAUCUUUAGUUGCCAGCACUUCGGGUGGGGACUUUAGAGAGACUGCCCCGGUAAACGGGGAGGAAGGUGGGGAUGACGUCAAGUCCUCAUGGCCCUUAUGUCCAGGGCUACACACGUGCUACAAUGGUAUGUACAGAGGGCAGCGAGGGAGUGAUCCCGAGCGAAUCCCGAAAGCAUGCCCCAGUUCGGAUUGGAGUCUGCAACCCGACUCCAUGAAGUUGGAUCGCUAGUAAUCGCGGAUCAGCAUGCCGCGGUGAUAUGUUCCCGGCAUUGUACACACCGCCCGUCACACCAUGAGAGUUGACUAUACCCGA
RNAcentral lists this ribosomal RNA (1407 nucleotides) under uncultured organism. Its description in RNAcentral is "16S ribosomal RNA". It matches the Rfam family "Bacterial small subunit ribosomal RNA". The record is from RNAcentral.